UUAAAUUCUUAUACUCAAU
This 19-nucleotide small nuclear RNA is filed under the name Arabidopsis thaliana (thale cress). Its description in RNAcentral is "snRNA_12174". The record is from RNAcentral. Lineage: Eukaryota; Viridiplantae; Streptophyta; Magnoliopsida; Brassicales; Brassicaceae.